CUAACAGGACAAAUCUCAGUUGCAGACAACAGGACUACAAAACUGAAGUUGCCAGAGUGCUUUUAGGAUCAUAUGAGCCACUUGGUGCUGUACACACAAAGCAGCUGAAAUAACCAGAAGCGGAGAAGUCGGUGAACAAGGGGUGAUGCCAUCUCUGAGACACAGAGUUAUAACAGAGCAAGCUGACGUUAUAAAGUGGCUGGAGAAACUGUGUACUUCCUUCAGCAGCAGAGGAGCAUAAAGUGAGCUGAAGAAACACAGCAAUAGAGCCAUCUGCCACAUCUGCUUCUGUUAUGAAGAAUCAAGUAUAGUAAGGAAGAUGAUCCGUGGUCAUGGUACAUGUUAAUAUCACCUUCUGACAAAGCAGGAUUUUCUUACGUUCAGUUACAUACACUGACCUGGUAUUGAGUGGAAGGAUCAAUGCCCUUUUACAACCUUUUGAACUUGUUCAAUAGCCUUUGCUUCUGUUUGGAGAACCUGUUUCUUGUUAAAAAGCUUGAGCAACCAAAUCCAUCCUCCUUGAGCAUUGCAGCUCACACUCCAUAGAAUCACAGAACUCUUGUGGGCUUUCCAAAGUCUGCCUUCUUAAGCUGAUGGUGGUCUCCCAUGAUUUCCUUGAAAAUCCACACAACUGUGAUGAGCCAGAUACCUUAGACUUACAAGGACAGCUUUCAUUAACAGCCUUGAGAUGUGAACGCUCAUUGCUGCUUUGAAAUCAAGGCCAAAAAAGCAUUUUAUUUUUACUUGGCAGUAUUAGAGAGCUCUCCACUAAGCCUGUCCAAAACUUUUGUAUUAUUUGAGAUGAAGUGAGAAGAGAAAGCUCCUUCUCCAGAAAUUUUGUACUGUGAGUCUUUUGUUCAGCUGAACCCAAAGGCAGAAUUUGGAUCAGAUGUUGUAUUGUAAAAUGUCCAUUAUUUCCUGUAGAUUUUCCUAUCACUGUUCAACCCAGCUGGGCAAAAUGGUAAUAUUCAUUACCAUUUAUUUUUCUUCUUUGAGCUAUGAAUACAACUGUCAUUUGUCUUCUGUCAGUCUUAUCUUCCUGUUUUUGGUGUUGUUUUUUUGUUUAUUUGUUUUUUUGCUUGUUUGUUUGUUUUCCUAAAAUAUUUGGUGAUCUGAUCAAAAGGAUACUGAGGAACUGUUGUGUGUUACUACCCUGGGUAAACUGGCAUCCACUCCUGCAGGUUUGAGCUCCUUCUGAGGGAUCAGCUAUUUCAUUUGGCUGCUGUGUGCUGAUUGCUGGAAAAUAGCUGGGAUGGUCUGAAUGACAGUCUUCAUUUCUGGUUCGAUACUGUGCAUCCUCCUCUUGCACGAAGGGCAGAUGUAAUAAUUUUAAGUGGCAUCAUUGAAGCUGGGCAGACAAAUGACAGCUGACAAAAUUGAGUGGAAGUGUCUCAGAAGGCCUCCAAGCACCAGGAGGGCAACGCAGCCUUCACUGCCCAUGAGAGCUGACAAGUGCUGAUGACUUGGAGGCUGUGACCAUACGAUCCUGACAUUAAUCUGGGGCUGGGAGUGAGAGCUGUUCCUGCUUCCUCUUGUCCUCCAUUAUCCAAUGGGUGUCACUGCAGACCUGGACUGCUGCGGGUGCCUUCUUCUGGACUGGACUCAAAGUAAGCACAAACCAAAGUAUAGAAAUAAUCAAAACAAGUUGCUAUUGAAUAGGAUUUGCAAGUGAAGAUUCUUGCAAGCAGAAGGCUGAGGCUGAAAAGUGAAAGCUCCAAAGGCUUUUUGACUUUUUAGGAGAAAAACUGCCUCUACUUUUCUCCUGAUACACACUGGUACGCUCUCUGCUCCUCCACACCUGCAGAAAUGGAUGGAUGCUCCAAGUCUGCUCCUUUUCUGUUGGAAGAGCUGUGCUAGACAGCUCAGCAGUCUGCAGGUGCCAGCCAGAGUGUAUCUUGCCAAGAAAAGGAGACUACUUCGUGCCUCUGAAGGAAG
Molecule: long non-coding RNA, 1935 nt
Organism: Lagopus muta (rock ptarmigan)
Lineage: Eukaryota; Metazoa; Chordata; Aves; Galliformes; Phasianidae
Exons: 6
Source: RefSeq, a predicted model, not a curated record